RNAcentral lists this ribosomal RNA (380 nucleotides) under uncultured eukaryote. RNAcentral describes it as "SSU rRNA". It matches the Rfam family "Eukaryotic small subunit ribosomal RNA", at positions 587 to 972 of the family's 1831-position model. The record is from RNAcentral.
AGCUCCAAUAGCGUAUAUUAAAGUUGUUGCAGUUAAAAAGCUCGUAGUUGAAUUUCUGUCUAGAAAGACCUGUGCAGCACUUUGUGUUGUCUACGUGGUUGAGUCUAGAUAUAUAUCUGUAGGGCGUGUGUACUUAACUGUGUGCACGAACUGCGGAAAUUUUACUUUGAGAAAAUUAGAGUGUUUCAAGCAAGCAAUCGCUUUGAAUACUGCAGCAUGGAAUAAUGUGAUAAGACUUUGGUCUUAUUUUGUUGGUUUCUGAGGCUGAAGUAAUGAUUGAUAGGGACAGUUAGGGGCAUUCGUAUUUAACUGUCAGAGGUGAAAUUCUUGGAUUUGUUAAAGACGAACUAGUGCGAAAGCAUUUGCCAGGGAUGUUUUCA